AAGGGUUCACGAGGUCAAGGCAUGCAGUUGGACGCAAAGAGCAAUUACAAAACUGCUCACAGUUUCUGUUUUUGUGCAACUAUCCUUUGUGAAUGCUCUCAAUGGGACUAACUAUGAUGACUAAAAAGAGUCUCUGAAUAUGUAUCUGAUCAUCUUUGAGAAAGAUUUAGAUCUGAAAGAGCCCAAGCCUGCAGAUUUCUCUUCUGAGUUCAGUGCUUCUAAAAUGGUCUUCCAUAAACAAUGGAGUGAGUCCAAUUGGUUCUAUCUUGCGAUCAUCAAGUACACAAUUGAAAAGGAAAUUAAGGACAGCGUUUCUAAAAAGGAUACUAUAGUGGAAUACUUGAAAGUUGUUGGUAAUAAAUACAAGAAGCUUGACAAGACUCAAAAGAACUACUAUUUAUUACUUCUUGACAAUACUUGAUAUGACAAAGUUUCUGGUGUCAGGGAGCAUAUUUUGAAGCUUGUUCAUUACUACAACAAGCUUAAGUCAUAUGGGAUUGAUUUGGGUGAAAGUACCUUAGUUUACCGUAUUCUUCAAUCACUACCAUCAGAAUACGCAUUCUUGAGGACUUCAUACAACUCACAAGAAACUGAAUAGUUUAUUGACCAGAUGAUGUCAAUAGUUACUUAAGAAGAGGAAGCUAUAAAGAAGAAUUUCUCUCACUCAAUAAACUAUGUUUCUCAUGGCUCUAGUAGCAAAUCUCGAGGGUCGUACAAGAAAAAGGGGAAGAAGCAUGAGGCUCCAAAGCUCAAUAAUCCAACUUUUAAGAAGGAUGGGGGUAAGAGUAAGAAGUUGAGGAAGAAACCCUUUAAAGGGUUAUGCAAUUAUUGCAAGAAACCGGGUCACAUUAAAGCUAAUUGCGUCAAACUAAAGAACAAAUAAGAAAGUGAAGGGGCUAAGAAACCAGAAGGUUCCAAGUGAGGCAUAGAAGUCAGUUUUUGGCAUAGCAGGGAGCAAGGCAUCAGUUGAAUACAUUGGAACUAUUUUUUUGUAUUUAAAUUCUGGUCAUGUUUAAAUUUGAACAAUGUUAUUUAUAUACCUUCUGCGAAGAGGAAUUUAAUUUCAACUUCUGCAUUGAAUAUUUGUGGCUAUUCAUUCU
Long non-coding RNA from Prosopis cineraria, 1100 nucleotides. RefSeq lists it as uncharacterized. The transcript is spliced from 3 exons. NCBI's taxonomy places the organism in Eukaryota, Viridiplantae, Streptophyta, Magnoliopsida, Fabales, Fabaceae. The record is from RefSeq and is a predicted model, not a curated record.